Molecule: unclassified non-coding RNA, 877 nt
Filed under: Hevea brasiliensis (rubber tree)
Lineage: Eukaryota; Viridiplantae; Streptophyta; Magnoliopsida; Malpighiales; Euphorbiaceae
Source: RNAcentral
CUUCAACAAUGGCGGCCAAGAAGACACUCCGUAACCCAGAGCUAAUUCGCGGCGUGGGUAAGUUCUCACGUUCCAAAAUGUACCACAAAAAGGGUUUAUGGGCAAUCAAGAAGAAAAACGGUGGAAAAUUCCCUCAACACCAGAAAAAACCAAUCUCAGCUCCACCAGCUGAGAAAUCCCCAAAGUUCUACCCUGCUGAUGACGUGAAAAAACCCCUUGUAAACAAGCACAAACCAAAACCCACGAAGCUAAGAGCGAGUAUUUCUCCAGGGACAGUGUUGAUUAUCCUUGCUGGUAGGUUUAAGGGGAAGAGAGUUGUGUUCUUGAAACAGCUUUUAUCUGGGUUGCUUCUUGUUACUGGGCCUUUUAAGCUUAAUGGGGUUCCUUUAAGACGUGUUAAUCAAGCUUAUGUGAUCGGUACUUCAACGAAAGUUGAUGUUAGUGGAGUGAAUGUUGAGAAGAUUGAUGAUAAGUAUUUUGCUAAGGAAGCUGAGAAGAAGCAGAAAAAGGGUGAAGGGGAGUUUUUUGAAGAGAAGAAAGAGGAGAAGAAUGAGCUUCCACAGGAAAAGAAAGAUGCCCAGAAAGCCGUAGAUGCAUCAUUGAUUAAGGCCAUUGAGGCUGUUCCUGAUUUGAAGGGUUAUUUAUCUGCAAGGUUUUUACUGAAGUCAGGCAUGAAACCACAUGAGCUAGUGUUUUAGGCUACUAUUGGCACAAUACUCUUGUUUGUUGAAUUGACCUUGUUUAUCUCUCUGUGUUCUCUUUGAAAAGAGUUUGAUUGUUCACAUGAAAAGUUUUGUUGAUGAGAAUCAUCUUAGAUAGAAGUAUGCAAUAUGAGAUUUCCCCGUCGGAACUAUUUAUUCUUUUAUUACAAUCUUAA